AUAGAUCCUAUAGCAAGCAAGAUAGAUCACUCGACGAUAAAGACGUAGUACAGUCAUGGGCAGAUUCAUGGGUAGUUUGCGGCCCCAUUUCCGUAACCGGCUUCCGUCUCCGCACCAAAGAUCCCAUAGCGGAGCAAAGAUACUAGUGCGGAGACGGAAGCCAUUUACGGAAACAUCCUCGUAAAAAUAAAAGUUCUUUGGUAAGAUUAUUUUGGACUCCACUGGAUAAAACUCUACAAGAAUAUGUAAAGAUUUUACCAUAAGGGCGUCGUUUUACGGAGCAGAUGUGAUUAUACACACACAUCCAAGAUCAGACUUUUAAUAGUUGCUAGAACAAGUGGGCCCCGUCCCCUCAAUAAAGCUCAAAAUUUUCAGCUCCUUUUCAGGCAGUGGUACCUUCACCAAUGAUUCGUGGUUUUUGCUGACUUCAUCACAGAGCUUGAUUAAUUGAACCAGAAUCCUGUCCAACAUCGCCAUCUUGUGACUGAGCUUUAGCUUUGACCACAGGCAUACAUGUCCACUAUCCCUUGAAGACUCGUUGACGUAAAAGCCGUAUGCCUGCGACUUGAUAGGGGGCGCCAUCCAGUUGGGUAUGGCUGCCCUGCCUGCAGCUGUCCGUCCUUUCAGUCCUUUUUUUUAUUUUUAGUAUGUUAAAAAGUAUUUUGUUUGGAGGUCUAUUCUUUUUGUGCGUG
Leucoraja erinaceus (little skate) is the source of this 692-nucleotide long non-coding RNA. RefSeq lists it as uncharacterized. The transcript has 4 exons. The record is from RefSeq and is a predicted model, not a curated record. NCBI's taxonomy places the organism in Eukaryota, Metazoa, Chordata, Chondrichthyes, Rajiformes, Rajidae.